GCCCGGGUAGCCCAACGGUAGGAGGCACCGCGCCCAGAACGCGGGCAGUGCAGGUUCGAAUCCUGCUCCGGGUA
RNAcentral lists this transfer RNA (74 nucleotides) under Actinoplanes digitatis. It matches the Rfam family "tRNA". Rfam says of the family: Transfer RNA (tRNA) molecules are approximately 80 nucleotides in length. Their secondary structure includes four short double-helical elements and three loops (D, anti-codon, and T loops). Further hydrogen bonds mediate the characteristic L-shaped molecular structure. tRNAs have two regions of fundamental functional importance: the anti-codon, which is responsible for specific mRNA codon recognition, and the 3' end, to which the tRNAs corresponding amino acid is attached (by aminoacyl-tRNA synthetases). tRNAs cope with the degeneracy of the genetic code in two manners: having more than one tRNA (with a specific anti-codon) for a particular amino acid; and 'wobble' base-pairing, i.e. permitting non-standard base-pairing at the 3rd anti-codon position. Lineage: Bacteria; Bacillati; Actinomycetota; Actinomycetes; Micromonosporales; Micromonosporaceae. RNAcentral also lists the same sequence under 2 other names. The record is from Rfam by way of RNAcentral.